Molecule: long non-coding RNA, 3548 nt
Organism: Magallana angulata
Lineage: Eukaryota; Metazoa; Mollusca; Bivalvia; Ostreida; Ostreidae
Exons: 3
Source: RefSeq, a predicted model, not a curated record
CCUAUGUAUGGGUUCAUUAAAUUUUUAUUAUAUUAUGUCCAAACGUUUAUCUACUAUAUCGAGAAGAAAUCCAGAAUUUCUUUUUUAAAACCAACUCUCAAUCUACAUGAAUCAAUGUACAGGAAAAUGGAGAAUCUCCAAAUUAUCUUUACUGAUACAUUUUCUUGUUUUGUUCGAAAAAAUUCAGAGAAACGAAAACGGAUUUCUUACGGAGAUUUAUAAUUUUUCAUCUAUAUCAUCCGGGUACCUUCAUCUCUUUAACAAUGGAAAAUCGCCUUAGACUUUUAAUUUUAGCCGUGUAUUGAAAUUUGACAAGUUAGAAGGUGCAUUUCAGCAAAGUCUGUCUUUUUCUUAGUUUUUUUAUGAUUCCGUACGUUACUACUGAUGUCAACACUAUGGAAGGCAGCCAAAUUAUGGAUAUCAAUAUUUUUGUUUCAAAAAUAAAAUCAGUAUAUUAAUAUGAUAUUUAUCUUAAAAACAGAAAGAAAUAAAGUGUGAAGUCAAUUUAUAAUGAUAUUGAUAAUGUGUAAACAACCAUUCCUCGCUCUCCCUCUCCCCCUCUCUCUCUCUCUCUGCUAACGAUUUUAAAACUGGAUAUAUUUAAAAGAUUUUUAAACUAGGAAUAUAACAGCAACAUUAUAUUGGAAACCAAAUAAAUUUCUGUUUAAAGCUACCAUUGUGUCGUAUUGACUUCAGUUUAGAGGCCGGUAAUAUUUUGAAGCAUAUGUUACAUCCUAAAACACGAGCUAUUUGAUGCUAUUUUCAGAUGGGAAUUAUGUUAACAGUGAAAACAUGCGUACUUUACAUGCUCGUGAAGUAAAAAUGUGUAUUAUAGAAUUGACAGAGAGAACAGGAACUCGAUUAAUAAAAACCAUGACAUCAUCUUUAAUUACACAACUUAAACGAUAUAAUACUGUAGUUUAAUCGGGGUUCGAGUUGUCAAAAUCGGAUUGUUAUCAAGUUCAAUGUUAUGAGUAAAAUUUGUUCUAAACACCGAAAGUAUUAAUAAAACAGGAGAAAAGCCGCCAAUGUGACAGCAAACUGGGUUUUCUUUUGUGAGAACAGUAUCUAUCAUCCUUUUUUCAACCCUGAGUUAAUGAACAGUACCUAUCAGCUAAAUAUCCCAAAAUAUAUCGAAAGAAAAUCAAAAUAUUGUCUAAAUAUGUUUUUAGAACAUCAUGAAUAAAUCGUUAUACACAAACUAUCUAGAAGUUUGGUCUGCGCUGAAAAUUAGAGAGCUAAAUUAACAGUACUCUAUAACUAGUGAGUUAUGAAAAUCGUUCAUUUCCUUCUUCACAAAAUAUGCUCCCUUAUUAAACUCCGUCAAUUUGUAAUCAAUUUAAAACAAUACACCGAUCCAUUUUAUUUGUGGGUCUGUCGGGUUUGACCAAUCAGAUCACGUCAUCUGAUGCGGCGUAUAAGGUCGGACAUUGGUCGGACAUCGCUACAUAAAGAUGGCGAUUGUUUACGUAUUGAAACUGUAAAACUGGGUGUUAUUUUUCGAUUGAGUUCAAUAUAAUGGUGAAGCACUGUUCGCAUGGGACAUGUAAAUCGGAUAGCAGAUUCAUCCCAUUUCCGAAGCCAAAGUCUGAUUUGGAGAAAUGUUUACAAUGGAUAUCAUGCUGUCAAAUACCACAUGUCCAGCUUAACGUUGACAAAAUUACGAAGCAUACAUAUGUGUGUUCUAAGGUAAGUACAAGUACAUUUUAUUUUCAGAUUAUAGAAUAACCUGUCAUCCAUUAAUCCGAUAUCCUUUGAACAUGUUGAACACUGACUAUACCCAGUAACGUUACAUGUAUGUACAGCUUGAAAAUGGCGUCGUUUUUGUUCCGACUUCAAAAAUACCGAAAUGCCCAUAAACAAUUAAGAUUAUUUUGGUGGCAUAGAUCUGCCACCACUUGUCAGAUAAUUAUGUUGACUUGUUAUAUGAUAAUGUCGACUUGUCAGAUAUUUAUGUCAACUUGUCAGAUCUUUAUGAUGACUUGUCAGAAAAUAACAAUACUGAGUAGAACCUCAAAAUUUUGUUGCCAAAGCGUGUUAGUGCCACAAACUGCCAUUUACUUGUCAUCAUAAUAUCUGACAAGUCGACAUCAAGAUCUGACAAGUCGACAUAAUUAUCUGACAAGUGGUGGCAGAUCUAUGCCACCAUAGAUUAUAACACUUUUAUACUUGUUUAUAUGUCGGAAUGCUUGUAAAACAAAUGCAGUAAAAUUUUAAAGCUUUCAAGAUAUACCUUUAGCUUUGUGCUGUGACAGAGACAGAGCGCAUUACAUAUCAUAGAAUAUACUGAUUGUAUUACUAUUUUUUUUACACUGUUUCAGCAUUUCAUUUCAUUGGAUGGUCCUUCAGAUGAAUACUCUUAUCCUUGUGAUGCCCAGACUGGUGAACUGCACAGAGCAAGGCGAAAGAUCAUAUACUUGUCUAAACAGUCAAAAUCAGAUGAUUUAAACAGCAAGACCAGGCAUGAGAGCGCUUACAAAAAAGUGUGACGGACGGAAACACGGCCUGAGGGACGCCCGGCAUUUCUAUGUCCCCGCUCCGCGUGGCGGCGGGGGACAAAAUAAUUUUGUCAGUAGUACCAGUACUGAUGAUUCACCAUAUUCUCAAGCAAUGGAAUGCUGUUUAACAACACAACCAACUUCAAAUCCUGUCAUAGAUUCCUCAUGCCAACCAGAAAAAGAAUUAUUUUCAUCUAUGGAUGUGCUUUCAUGGGUUGCACAAGUUAGAAAACUGGAGGAAGAAAAUGACAGGUUGCGACAGGAAAUCAAACAGAGAGGGAAAGUUUCUGAUGCUGCUUGCCAAACAGAGAGAGAUACAAUUUUCACUGCUGAAGAAGUUUCAAAGUCAAAGAUCAUAAACUUGUUUGAUUUUACACUGGAUUAAGCUAUAGUAGAUUUCUCAUGCUUCUUGUGUUUCUUUUUCCAAGUUAUGAAAGUCCAAACAUUUAUGAAGACAAAAGAAAAACAACACAUAUUGACAAGUUUCCUUUGUCAACGCAGUUGUUUAUGUACCUGUGCAGACUUAGAAAUGCUUUAAAUGUGAACGAUUUAGCAUUCAGAUUCAAUAUUAAGGUUCAAACUGUGUGAAUAGAAAUUAAUGGGGUAGCGAAGUACAUGCAUUUGAGAUUAGGUUCCUGCAGUUAUUGGCCCCAUCGAAAUCAAUCACAAAAAUCAUGCCGGAAUCUUACAAAUAUGAUUUUCCAAACUGUUUAGCUACUCUUGACUGUACCGAGCUAAAAACUGAAAAACCUUCAUCACUGAAACAGCGAAGUCAGUGUUAUUCAGACUAAUAAUGAUGCCUUAAUGGCUGACAAAGGGUUUCUAAUUGAAAAAGAGUUGGCACUUUUAGAAUUGCAGUUGAAUAUUCCAUCCCUUGCAUCUAGUGCUAGGCCAUUUAGUGAAAGCGAUGUAAACCUCACCAGAAAAAUAGCUACUCAUAGAAUACACAUUGAACGUGCCAUCAAUCAAAUAAAGUGUUUUAAAUUAUUGAAAAGAAAAAUUCCUGUGAGCAUGUUUAAUUGUAUUAAUGCUCAUUGGUUUAUAGCUGCG